RNAcentral lists this ribosomal RNA (497 nucleotides) under uncultured bacterium. Its description in RNAcentral is "partial 16S ribosomal RNA". It matches the Rfam family "Bacterial small subunit ribosomal RNA", at positions 28 to 507 of the family's 1533-position model. The record is from RNAcentral.
GAUGAACGCUGGCGGCGUGCCUAAUACAUGCAAGUCGAGCGAACAGAUAAGGAGCUUGCUCCUUUGACGUUAGCGGCGGACGGGUGAGUAACACGUGGGUAACCUACCUAUAAGACUGGGAUAACUUCGGGAAACCGGAGCUAAUACCGGAUAAAAUUUGGAACCGCAUGGUUCUAAAGUGAAAGAUGGUUUUGCUAUCACUUAUAGAUGGACCCGCGCCGUAUUAGCUAGUUGGUAAGGUAACGGCUUACCAAGGCAACGAUACGUAGCCGACCUGAGAGGGUGAUCGGCCACACUGGAACUGAGACACGGUCCAGACUCCUACGGGAGGCAGCAGUAGGGAAUCUUCCGCAAAGGGCGAAAGCCUGACGGAGCAACGCCGCGUGAGUGAUGAAGGGUUUCGGCCCGUAAAACUCUGUUAUUAGGGAAGAACAAACGUGUAAGUAACUGUGCACGUCUUGACGGUACCUAAUCAGAAAGCCACGGCUAACUACGUG